This 3291-nucleotide long non-coding RNA is filed under the name Brassica napus (rape). Its description in RNAcentral is "long non-coding RNA (BNAP_LNC012942)". Lineage: Eukaryota; Viridiplantae; Streptophyta; Magnoliopsida; Brassicales; Brassicaceae. The record is from RNAcentral.
CGGUGACGUGUUCAAGAACGGCGGAGAUUCUUUUCUCGACUUCGUUCUUGGAUGCGAGUGAAGUGUUCAAGAAGACGGCGCAACGGAGGAGAGAACAGAGGAAGUUGAUCGGGAAAAGUCCUUUGUCUGAAGGUAAGAGAGAGACGAUUGAUUCCACGAGAUGUCUCUGUUGAGUUCUCUCCUCGGAGUCGUUGUUCUCGGGAUCGGAAAACUUGACUCCUCUGCCGGAAUGGUCUCUGACGAGGUCUCUUAAGGAUCUCUCGGUGUAGGUGAUGAUUGCGGAGGCUAAGGAAGAUGGCUUGAGGCCCUUCUGCUUCAUGGAAGCUAAGACGUCGGCCAAGAAGUUGAUGUUUAAGAUACAGAGCUCCUCUGUCCACCAGUUCGGUGGUGAUCGGCACGGUAACAUUGCCUCGUCGCAAGCCUUUUCAAAACAUAAAUAAAUAAUGAAAAUAUAACACAAAUUAGUUUAUGUAAUAAGCACUACAAAAACUAAUGGAGGCAAACCUAUCUUGCAUAAUUGAUACGUGAGACUCAAGGAACUGAACAAAGAUAUGUUGAACCGAAUCAAACCGAACCGAAACCAAAUCUAAAUAGCUUAUACGAAAAUGAUUGUAAACUCUAGCACGGUUAAUUAAUUCACUUUUGACAUUGAAAGCGAAUAAAAAUUACAACGUAGUAAUUAAUGUAUGAUUGUAAACUCUAGCACGGUUAAUUAAUUCACUUUUGACAUUGAAAGCGAAUAAAAAUUACAACGUAGUAAUUAAUGUAAAUCAUAAGAGCACUUUCAUCCAUAGAUAUUUAGUGAGUAUCUAAGUAAUCGAGAAAAAAAAAAUUUAGUAGAGAGAACAAGAGUUUCUCAAAAAGAACUUAUAAGAUACUCUUGAGAAAUUCUUGUACCUUUUUAAAAUUGAAAGCCUAUUUACAGAAAAAAAUACUCUUUAAGAAAUUAUAAUGUCAUGUGGCAACCUAAGCUUUUUUUUUUAAGAUAAAAAUUAAUUCAAUAACAAAAUUUUAUUAAUAUCAAUUUUCUUAAGUUUAGAACCUUAUGGUUAAUGGAUUCUAGAGUGGCGUGUAUUUUGGUUACUACUAUGUAAAACUUGGAAUUAUAAAACUUAACCUAAACAUCAAUGUUUUUAAAAACUCUUUAGAUAGCAAAUCGGCCAUAAACAAAACAAAAAAAUUUAGAUCGAUCGGUCUAUGCGGCGGCGUGUCUAGGUCCGCCUAAAUGUUAAUCCUCUAUAAAGCGCCUAAAUAUAAAGAUUUUAUUGAACAUUACUAAACACUAACCAAAACCAGGAUCUAAGUUUAACACUUAGAAAGCAAAUGAGAAUGAAUUACGAGUUAAAACCUUAGUACCGACAACGUCCACACAACGGCGGACAAUACCAAGAUCACGAGAAAUAGGAAGGAGUAUCUCGCAAGACUUGAGGACCACGAUGGCUCCGGAGAGGCUAGAGAGAGCGACUUGAGAAAGGAAGUCUUGUGUCCGACCAGCGAGGUUGUUGUCGCAGUACUUGUCAGUCAUCUGAAGAAACUCAGCGGCGCAUUGAAGAGCCGCCACGUUCUGGACGGUGAUUUCAAAGCUAACACCGUAACAGAAUUUAGCAGCUUUCUCGAACAUCUCAGCACCUCCGGGGAUAUCCGAGAGAUCUAUUCUCGUCACGUCACUGUCUUUGGAUUCCAUUAUUAGCUUCCUUAUGUAGUUGCUCUUCGCCACUAGCAUGAACUACAUGAGAUUAAAAGGAAAUUAUAAAUAGAAACUCAUGUUGUUAUUAACCAUUUUUGACCUAGGCAUGUACCUGUAAAGUAAUAAUUUGUACUAAUGUCUCAUAUCGUAUAACAAACUCAUAGCUCAGUACUUUCAAUUCGUUUGUAUGAGUUAUAGACGACAAAACAAAAAGAAAAUUUUUAUCUAUACAAACGAAUUUGCUUCUUUUACUCAUCAAUAUUAGAAGUAUCCUUAGACCCAUGUCUAAAUGGAUUCAACUUCCCAAGCUUCUUCGAAACAGACGAGAAGAAAGUAUGUUUGCUGUUCUUCUUAUUACUCGGUGCAUUCGAAGAAGAAGCUCCUGCUGCAACAUUAUUUUGUAGAUCCGAAACAUACAUCUUCAUCUUCAUCAGCUCACUCCUCAAAUCUUCGUUCUCUUUAGCCAACGAACUAUCACGUGUCCCUAAAGCCUCAGGGACUAUAACUGGUGUUCCUUCUUUGUCUUCAACCUCGCUUCUUAGCUUUAACUGAUCGUAGUAAAGAGCGUGAAGAACGAUGUUCACUGGUAACCUCUUGUUCUGCGAAGCAUGAAGACGUGCAUCGCAAGAAAGCUUGAGAGGAUCCAUUAAGCUACAAACUUUCUCUCUUUCGAUCUCGCCUAGGCUCGGAUGAGCUUUCAAGAAGAUGUCUACCGCUCUAUAAAGAUCGUCUUCUGACUUUCUAGCGGACUUGGGAACUAGGUUUGCUAUCGCGUUGAACUUGGAUACCGUGAGCUCCAAGCAAGUAGCGAUCUCUGCUAAGUAGGAGUCAACGGUCUUCGCAACUCUUUGUAGCGAGACAGAACAUAACCCUUUUUUGCUUUUCUCCUUUUCGACGAAAGCAGAGAUGAUUCUUCUGACGCUGUCUAGAUCUAAUAGUCUCUCGCCGUCGUAGGUGAAAGAAGGUACCAAGAGAUCAUCGACGGUGACGUGUUCAAGAACGGCGGAGAUUCUUUUCUCGACUUCGUUCUUGGAUGCGAGUGAAGUGUUCAAGAAGACGGCGCAACGGAGGAGAGAACAGAGGAAGUUGAUCGGGAAAAGUCCUUUGUCUGAAGGUAAGAGAGAGACGAUUGAUUCCACGAGAUGUCUCUGUUGAGUUCUCUCCUCGGAGUCGUUGUUUUCGGGAUCGGAAAACUUGACUCCUCUGCCGGAAUGGUCUCUGACGAGGUCUCUUAAGGAUCUCUCGGUGUAGGUGAUGAUUGCGGAGGCUAAGGAAGAUGGCUUGAGGCCCUUCUGCUUCAUGGAAGCUAAGACGUCGGCCAAGAAGUUGAUGUUUAAGAUACAGAGCUCCUCUGUCCACCAGUUCGGUGGUGAUCGGCACGGUAACAUUGCCUCGUCGCAAGCCUUUUCAAAACAUAAAUAAAUAAUGAAAAUAUAACACAAAUUAGUUUAUGUAAUAAGCACUACAAAAACUAAUGGAGGCAAACCUAUCUUGCAUAAUUGAUACGUGAGACUCAAGGAACUGAACAAAGAUAUGUUGAACCGAAUCAAACCGAACCGAAACCAAAUCUAAAUAGCUUAUACGAAAAUGAUUGUAAACUCUAG